ACAUAAGUAACGAUAAAGCGGGUGAAAAGCCCGCUCGCCGGAAGACCAAGGGUUCCUGUCCAACGUUAAUCGGGGCAGGGUGAGUCGACCCCUAAGGCGAGGCCGAAAGGCGUAGUCGAUGGGAAACAGGUUAAUAUUCCUGUACUUGGUGUUACUGCGAAGGGGGGACGGAGAAGGCUAUGUUAGCCGGGCGACGGUUGUCCCGGUUUAAGCAUGUAGGCUGGUUAUCCAGGCAAAUCCGGAUAACCAAGGCUGAGGUGUGAUGACGAGGCACUACGGUGCUGAAGUAACAAAUGCCCUGCUUCCAGGAAAAGCCUCUAAGCAUCAGGUAACAUCAAAUCGUACCCCAAACCGACACAGGUGGUCAGGUAGAGAAUACCAAGGCGCUUGAGAGAACUCGGGUGAAGGAACUAGGCAAAAUGGUGCCGUAACUUCGGGAGAAGGCACGCUGGUGUGUAGGUGAAGUCCCUGCGGAUGGAGCUGAGACCAGUCGAAGAUACCAGCUGGCUGCAACUGUUUAUUAAAAACACAGCACUGUGCAAACACGAAAGUGGACGUAUACGGUGUGACGCCUGCCCGGUGCCGGAAGGUUAAUUGAUGGGGUUAUCCGUAAGGAGAAGCUCUUGAUCGAAGCCCCGGUAAACGGCGGCCGUAACUAUAACGGUCCUAAGGUAGCGAAAUUCCUUGUCGGGUAAGUUCCGACCUGCACGAAUGGCGUAAUGAUGGCCAGGCUGUCUCCACCCGAGACUCAGUGAAAUUGAACUCGCUGUGAAGAUGCAGUGUACCCGCGGCAAGACGGAAAGACCCCGUGAACCUUUACUAUAGCUUGACACUGAACAUUGAGCCUUGAUGUGUAGGAUAGGUGGGAGGCUUUGAAGCGUGGACGCCAGUCUGCGUGGAGCCAACCUUGAAAUACCACCCUUUAAUGUUUGAUGUUCUAACGUUGGCCCCUGACCGGGGUUGCGGACAGUGUCUGGUGGGUAGUUUGACUGGGGCGGUCUCCUCCCAAAGCGUAACGGAGGAGCACGAAGGUUAGCUAAUCCUGGUCGGACAUCAGGAGGUUAGUGCAAUGGCAUAAGCUAGCUUGACUGCGAGCGUGACGGCGCGAGCAGGUGCGAAAGCAGGUCAUAGUGAUCCGGUGGUUCUGAAUGGAAGGGCCAUCGCUCAACGGAUAAAAGGUACUCCGGGGAUAACAGGCUGAUACCGCCCAAGAGUUCAUAUCGACGGCGGUGUUUGGCACCUCGAUGUCGGCUCAUCACAUCCUGGGGCUGAAGUAGGUCCCAAGGGUAUGGCUGUUCGCCAUUUAAAGUGGUACGCGAGCUGGGUUUAGAACGUCGUGAGACAGUUCGGUCCCUAUCUGCCGUGGGCGCUGGAGAAUUGAGGGGGGCUGCUCCUAGUACGAGAGGACCGGAGUGGACGCAUCACUGGUGUUCGGGUUGUCAUGCCAAUGGCACUGCCCGGUAGCUAAAUGCGGAAGAGAUAAGUGCUGAAAGCAUCUAAGCACGAAACUUGCCCCGAGAUGAGUUCUCCCUGAGACUAUAAGUCUCCUGAAGGAACGUUGAAGACGACGACGUUGAUAGGCCGGGUGUGUAAGCGCAGCGAUGCGUUGAGCUAACCGGUACUAAUGAACCGUGAGGCUUAACCUU
This 1646-nucleotide ribosomal RNA is filed under the name Klebsiella pneumoniae. RNAcentral describes it as "bacterial LSU rRNA". It matches the Rfam family "Bacterial large subunit ribosomal RNA", at positions 1300 to 2925 of the family's 2925-position model. Lineage: Bacteria; Pseudomonadati; Pseudomonadota; Gammaproteobacteria; Enterobacterales; Enterobacteriaceae. The record is from RNAcentral.